UGCAGCUCUAACGUCUUCUGUAUAACGACUUACUGUGGGCACAACGCUUUCUGGUUCGUCUUCUCCUUCACUUUUCCCAACUACCUGUGAGAUAGAUAUUUGUGUUAUCCACACUUUACGGAGGAAGAAACAAGUCCAGGACAAUUAAGGGGCUGCUCUAAACUGUCGAAGUUAUAAAAUGGUAGAAGUGCUCUAGAGCUGUCCCUUUCGCUACCCCACAGCUAACCACCAUUUGGGGACAGGACAACAGUUUCUUCUUUGCUUCAGUGUCAGAGAUAGACCUUGUAAAAACCAUGUGAUCUGCGACGCUGACUAUUUUUUUCAACUUAAGGAAUUCAGUGGCAAGGGACCUGACAACACCUACGCCUGGCCUGAACUUCCCUGGAGUGGCUCCGGGGUCUAGGAAGAGGAUGCUUUGCCUGAGUAUCUUCUAUAGAAGGAGUCUCAUUGAAUUGACUUUGGGCUUGGUCAUGUUUCAUUAUUUGGCUGAUGGGAUGUGAGCAGAUGUGACUCAUGCCAUGUUCGAGCAUGUCUGGCCUAUGAAACCUCCCAAAAGAGAUCCUUCAUAUUCUUUCCUUUCUGGCUUGAUGAAGAUGACUUUGAGCACAGUGAUCCUGAAGGACACAUGUUAAAGACAAUGGAGCCACAGGAUAGAAGGAACUUGGUUCCCUGAAUUAUCACUUGGUAGAGAGCUGCCUGCUAAUCAGGAUCAUGUGUUUUGGACUUCGCUUGACCAAUAAAUCAAUACCUAUUUUGUCAUACCAUUAAAAAGUUGGGGUUUAUCUUUAGUGUUUUCCUAAUCAGUACAUCAAGUUAAAAGUUUGGACUUGAUUCCCCUCAGGAAUGGGAAGUUAGUCACUGAUGAUUUUUCUGAACAAGGGGAAUAAUACUGUGAAGACAGGUGGAAGUUGCAGUUAUAGGGAUCAAAUAAUACUUUUGAGUGAGGCUGGAAGAUUUGGAGACUGUUGGUUUUUUCGGAAUGUAGGCUAACUCCUCAUUCAGGGAGAGGGGAUAAUUGUCAUGAUUGUUGAAAGGCUCUCUAGAGCUGUGGAAGGAGCUGAUAAAAAGCGAAUCUGAUUUCCCUGGAGUUUUAAGUCUCUUUUUUCUUUUGUAAAAGUCCUAAUUCUGUUAGUGCCUCAU
Long non-coding RNA from Lemur catta (Ring-tailed lemur), 1140 nucleotides. RefSeq lists it as uncharacterized. The record is from RefSeq and is a predicted model, not a curated record. NCBI's taxonomy places the organism in Eukaryota, Metazoa, Chordata, Mammalia, Primates, Lemuridae. The transcript has 3 exons.